RNAcentral lists this ribosomal RNA (764 nucleotides) under uncultured bacterium. Its description in RNAcentral is "bacterial SSU rRNA". It matches the Rfam family "Bacterial small subunit ribosomal RNA", at positions 8 to 796 of the family's 1533-position model. The record is from RNAcentral.
AGAGUUUGAUCCUGGCUCAGGACGAACGCUUGCGACGUGCCUAAGAAAUGCAAGUCGAACGGGGGCUUCGGCCCUAGUGGCGAACGGUCGCGUAACACGUGGGCAACCUGCCUCGAAGCGGGGGACAACAGAGGGAAACCUCUGCUAAUACCGCAUGUGAAUUGCUCCGGCAUCGGAGAGGAUUCAAAGCCGCAAGGCACUUCGAGAUGGGCCCGCGGCCUAUCAGCUAGUUGGUGGGGUAACGGCCUACCAAGGCGACGACGGGUAGCUGGUCUGAGAGGACGAUCAGCCGGAUUGGGACUGAGAUACGGCCCAGACUCCUACGGGGGGCAGCAAUUAGGAAUCUUGCGCAAUGGGCGAAAGCCUGACGCAGCGACGUCGCGUGAAGGAUGAAAUCUUUCGGGAUGUAAACUUCUUUUGUCAGGGAAGAAACAAAUGACGGUACCUGACGAAUAAGCCCCGGCUAACUACGUGCCAGCAGCCGCGGUAAUACGUAGGGGGCGAGCGUUGUCCGAAGUUACUGGGCGUAAAGAGCGCGUAGGCGGGUCUUUAAGUGAGGGGUGAAAGGUUCAGGGCUCAACCCGGACACUGCCUUUCAUACUGGAGACCUUGAGUGUGGGAGAGGCGAGUGGAAUGGCUGGUGUAGCGGUGAAAUGCGUAGAUAUCAGUCGGAACACCCAUGGCGAAGGCAGCUCGCUGGCCUAUAACUGACGCUGAGGCGCGAAAGCGUGGGGAGCAAACAGGAUUAGAUACCCUGGUAGUCC